RNAcentral lists this long non-coding RNA (2218 nucleotides) under Ficedula albicollis (Collared flycatcher). RNAcentral describes it as "lncRNA (ENSFALG00000023920.1)". The record is from RNAcentral. Lineage: Eukaryota; Metazoa; Chordata; Aves; Passeriformes; Muscicapidae.
AUGGUUUAUCUUGGUGUUAUUGAAAGGACCUUCCUAAAUAGACUGGCUCAUCAUCUGCAGCUCCACAAGGAUCACUUCAGAGACCCUGAACAUUUUAGUUCUCCUGAGACUGUGAAAAGUAAAGGCUGUUCCCCAGUUUGCAGAUGGUCCCAGUAUCAGACACGACAAAUUUUAACCAGCAGGUGUUUCUUGCGGGCUUUUACCAGUAGCAGACAAAAGUUCAGAGGAACUUAAGUCUGUAUUAGAGAGCAUCCAUGAAGCCUGCAACCUUUUCCCUCAUCCAGUGUCCAAAAGGUGCAAUCAAACUAUUUUUUCUUUCUUUAUGGAUUCUGAAAUGCAUGUAAUGGUGAAUAUUUUAAAAUUUUAUGUCUAUAUAUAAAAGAUCAUUCUAUGUAAAUGUAUUAAAAAAAAGAAAUGUAAUUAACAUGAAGGAAUUGCCUAAAUAGUAUUUUACACAUCUGUGAAACUUGGGCAGAUGCAUGGAACUGUUUUCUGCUGCUAUGUUUGCAGCACUGGGAGUGUGAGAUCAAAUGGCUUUUUGCCCACAAAGUAGCUAAUUAGUUCUGGUUAAUCUGUGAUGGGCAGAAGGCCUGAAUGUGCCUUCCUGAGAAGGAUCUUGUCCUGAGAAAGGAGGGACAAGAUCAGGGGAGACCGGAGUUCAAGGGGUGAUUUAGCUUUCCACCACAAGCUUUUCCCAGGCCUUGAAAAUACAAACGAUUUACUGAAGCAUAUAUUACAUUUCAGUCAUGUCCAGGUUUUGCAGUUGUCCUUUUUGCUUCUCUCCAUCCCUAGGGGGGAAAAAAAAUCUCUAGGAGUAGGGGAGAAGCUGCAGCUGAUCCCUAUUUUGUUUAACCUUUGCAUGCUCCUAGCUGAUGUAAAGGAUUGGUAACUAAUUCUGCUCCAAGCAAGGAAUGGAGGACUUCUCAUUGAGUUUGACUGGAGAUGGAGUAGGACUUUAACAGCCUCAGAAAGGAAGGAUGGCAGAAGGCAAGAACUUUCUGAGGACUCCUUACAGCAGUGCAGACCUUGGAUCUUGUGCUUGCAGUCACUUGUCCCCUUUGAAAUAUUAUUUGCUGCCAGGUCAAGAGAAGGGCUAGAAGCUGGACACUGUGAAGAGGACUGUCUCCAUCCCACUGGCCCUGGUUUUGUGAUUAUUUUUCCUGCUAGCUCUGAUGAAUUGCAGUUUUGUUUAGCUUUUUUUUCUCUGUGUGGACUUGCCUGCCUCUGUGCAUGAUUGUCAAAAAAUUAAAAAAAAAAAAAAAAAAAAAAAGGGGGGGGGGGGGGGGGGGGGGGGGGGGGGGGGGGGGGGGGGGGGGGGGGGGGAAAAAAAAAAAAAAGAAGAAAAACAACAGCCACAAAAGAAAGAUGUUUUGCCAGGUCUCAGCCAUGAGAUUAAACUGGAGUUUUUAUAAAAACAGAUCUGUGCCCUAGUGAUGUUUUGGAACAUUUUAUUUUUUUCUGAAUUUGGUUUAUAAAUACAGUGCAAAUGCUUUUGUCAUCUUCUGACAUGGAGUCUGAGCCCCUCUUUUGUUUUGUGAGUGGCCAGGGCACUGAUCUGUGUUUGUGUGGGCUUUGAUGGUGGGGACUUAAAGUUAGGGCCUGACCACACACUUUUCUGAUUGGAGGUUAUGGAAACUGCUGUUGCUCUGCAGCUCUGAAAUUGAAGUGAGAUUUGGAGAUUUCUGUAAAAUUACUGUUAUCCGAAAUGCUUUAAAAUUUUCAAGAGUAAAAUAAUUUUUCUCUUACUAUUGCUAGCUCUACCAGGCUGAAGUUUCAGUGAUGUGAAACUGUGUCCUCCUGUUUAGCACAUCUCCCACACAAUUCUGCUUUGCCUGUGAUAAUGCAGAGCAACUCAGAGUAGAGUAUGGAAAAACUUUGUGAUCCCAGUGCUUGUACAGCAGAAUCCAAGCUGGAACAGGGGAAGUUACUAUGAAGGAAUCUGGUGCAUCAUGCAUGCACUUCUGUUGAUUUGUAAAGGACAAGCAAGAACUUUAACAAAUUAUGAAUUUAGUUCCUUGGCUCUCACUAAACCAGUCUCUGUGCUGUAGCAUGGAAGUGAAUAUUAUGUGUCCCUUAUUCCAUCCUGGGAUCAGAGAGAGGAAAAAAAAAAAAAAAAAAAGGGGGGGGGGGGGGGGGGGGGGGGGGGGGGGGGGGGGGGGGGGGGGGGGGGGGGGGGGGGGGGGGGGGGGGGGGGGGGGGGGGGGGGGGGGGGGGGGGG